This 240-nucleotide ribosomal RNA is filed under the name uncultured bacterium. RNAcentral describes it as "partial 16S ribosomal RNA". It matches the Rfam family "Bacterial small subunit ribosomal RNA", at positions 15 to 248 of the family's 1533-position model. The record is from RNAcentral.
GAUCAUGGCUCAGGAUGAACGCUGGCGGCGUGCCUAACACAUGCAAGUCGAACGGACUUACAUUGAAGCCUAGCGAUAUGUAAGUUAGUGGCGGACGGGUGAGUAACGCGUGGGUAACCUGCCUUGUACUGGGGGACAACAGUUGGAAACGACUGCUAAUACCGCAUAAGACCACAGCACCGCAUGGUGCAGAGGUAAAAACUCCGGUGGUAUGAGAUGGACCCGCGUCUGAUUAGCUGG